This 253-nucleotide unclassified non-coding RNA is filed under the name uncultured Parcubacteria group bacterium. RNAcentral describes it as "contains 16S-23S intergenic spacer region". It matches the Rfam family "Bacterial small subunit ribosomal RNA", at positions 524 to 776 of the family's 1533-position model. The record is from RNAcentral.
UACGAGUGCCCCAAGCGUUAUCCGGAAUUACUGGGCGUAAAGGGUGUGCAGGCUGUUCUGUUAGUCCGUUGUUAAAGCCCAAGGCUCAACCUUGGAAGCGCAAUGGAAACGGCAGAACUAGAGGACGUAAGAGGUUGAGGGAACCCAUAGUGUAGGGGUGAAAUCCGUUGAUAUUAUGGGGAACACCGAAGGCGAAGGCACUCAACUGGUACGUUCCUGACGCUGAGACACGACAGCCAGGGUAGCGAACGGG